GCGCACCAGGCGAGAAACCUCCGCAAUACACGAAAGUGUGACGGGGCCAUCCCGAGUGCCGUCCGCUGAGGACGGCUUUUCCCCAGUGUACACAGCUGGGGGAAUAAGGAGAGGGCAAGCCUGGUGUCAGCCGCCGCGGUAAUACCAGCUCUCCGAGUGGUGGGGACGCUUAUUGGGCCUAAAGCAUCCGUAGCCGGCUGGGCAAGUCCUCCGUUAAAUCCAACGAUUCAAUCGUUGGGCUGCGGGGAUACUGUCCAGCUUGGGGGCGGGAGAGGCCGACGGUAUUCCCGGGGUAGGGGUGAAAUCCUAUAAUCCCGGGAGGACCACCAGCGGCGAAGGCUGUCGGCUAGAACGCGCCCGACGGUGAGGGAUGAAAGCUGGGGGAGCGAACCGGAUUAGAUACCCGGUAGU
RNAcentral lists this ribosomal RNA (411 nucleotides) under uncultured microorganism. RNAcentral's name for it is "bacterial SSU rRNA". It matches the Rfam family "Archaeal small subunit ribosomal RNA", at positions 330 to 745 of the family's 1478-position model. The record is from RNAcentral.